AACGCUGGCGGCAUGCUUCAUACAUGCAAGUCGAACGAUAAGGUCUCUUCGGAGAUACAUAAGUGGCGGACGGGUGAGUAAUAUGUAGGAAAUCUGCCCUAGAGAGGGGGACAACAGAGGGAAACUUCUGCUAAUACCCCAUAUGAGCGUAGUUGAAAUACUAUUCUUGAAAACUCCGGUGCUCUAGGAUGAGCCUGCAUCUGAUUAGCUUGUUGGCGGUGUAAUGGACCACCAAGGCGACGAUCAGUAGCUGGUUUGAGAGGAUGAUCAGCCACAAUGGGACUGAGACACGGCCCAUACUCCUACGGGAGGCAGCAGUAGGGAAUUUUGCGCAAUGGGCGAAAGCCUGACGCAGCAAUGCCGCGUGAACGUAGAAGCCCUUCGGGGUGUAAAGUUCUGUCAGUGGGGACGAAUUUUGACGGUACCCACAGAGGAAGCACCGGCUAACUCCGUGCCAGCAGCGGC
Molecule: ribosomal RNA, 465 nt
Filed under: uncultured bacterium
Lineage: Bacteria
Description: bacterial SSU rRNA
Rfam family: Bacterial small subunit ribosomal RNA
Source: RNAcentral